AAUUUGUAUUACAGAGUUUGAGUAAAGUUCAGUUUGUCGAGAUUUAAUUCUGUUGUCGGUGUAGCCGACUUUCGCAAAUUUCUAUUUUAAAAGUGUAGUGUACUAAAAAAAGCGCGUGGCGCUUUUUUUGGUACGGGCUGGAAUUUUCGAGGUCGACCCGGAGUCGGCGAAAAGGGUUUGCGGCAUUUCCGCCGUUUGAUCGUUGAAGGAGUUUUUGUGGAGUCCGUGCGCUCAUCAAGGCCCGCCCUUCGGGGUAGCGAAACGAAGUGUGGUGAAGUUUCGUAAGAAUAGUGAAGCGAAAAGUGAACCGUCGAUCGCCAAUUAAUCGACGGUGGUCCGAACCCUACGGACCGUUCAG
This is a long non-coding RNA of Armigeres subalbatus, 358 nucleotides long. RefSeq lists it as uncharacterized. The record is from RefSeq and is a predicted model, not a curated record. The transcript has 3 exons. NCBI's taxonomy places the organism in Eukaryota, Metazoa, Arthropoda, Insecta, Diptera, Culicidae.